UGAUCCACUGAAUUUCACAAGGUAACAGUUUUUUUUUAAAGAACAGUAUUACGAAUAUGUAGAUAUCAGUAUCCCCAAAAUUCUCAAUAGCCCAGUUAAUUACAAUCACAAACAAACCACUAUCAUUUUUUUACAUAAGUUGCUGUAUGGCAUUUUUAAAAGCCUAUGAACUGAUGGAUAUUUGUCACAAUGAUUACAAAUGUAGCAAAUCUUUCAACCUUGGUAAACAUUUUUAAACAAAGUAAAACUUAUUUUGGGUUUAGAACAUUAUCAAGAAAUCUAGAUAUCAUUCUGGUGGAAGUUAAGUAGUGAGCUGAAGUUAUAAAUGAGGGGUGUUCCUUUUUGGAGGCUUCUAGGGGUACAAAUGCCCUGGGAUUAACUGCCCAACUUUCAUUCACAUUUUUGUUCAAAUCUCCAUUUUUACAGAAGGGAAGCCCCUUGUCUGACCAUGGGAUUCCAAUGUCCUUGCUGAUUUAGAAGGAGAAAUCAAGUCUGUUCAUCCUCAUGGAGGACUCAAUCAUGGGCCUUGCCACUUCCCAGACAUACGUGGGAGAAAGGAACAGGUCUAUGUCAAUGUCAGGUGUUAGAGGAGGAGAGCCAUAUCAGCCAUAAGAAGAGGAGCCCAAAUCCUUCAAUCUGACACGUUACAUUCAAAGCUGCAGUCCCCGAUCCAGACCUGUUGCGUUGGCUGCCCAGCUGGCCCCUGGCUGCUAAGCUCUGCCUGCCUGCUUCUCCUGCUUCUGCUCCUGGACUCUCACCUGGUGCCCGAGCUCCCGGCCCUGUUUGUCUGCACCCUGGCUCCCGGCCCUGAUCACCCUGCAGUCUUUCUCUCGCUCACCUGGCCCACCUGAUUCAACCAAGAUUGUAAUCACCUGGUGACGUGCCUGCCCAACAAACCCAGAUCCUUGGCAGGUAACAAAACAGGGGGGUGAGGGGGGCGGUAUUGGCUCCACGUGGGCGGCCUGGGUUCCACGUGGACUGGGGCUGGAGGAGGUAUCAGAGCAGGGGAGAGAGAAAAGGGAAAGGAGAAGAAACAUGUUUUUUUCUAACAGAAACUUAAAAAAGCAAUGGGCUGUUUAAAAGGAUACCUUUUGACACUUCUGGUAAUUUCAUUGAUUUUACCUGCCUGUCAGGGAGCAGAUUCAGCCCAAAGAUUCAACUUUAACUUUGAAGGGGCAAAUGGGUGGCUCAACAAACUGGGAUCCAGACCUGAGGACAUGAGGUCCUGGGUUAAAAUCUGGCCUCAGAUACUUCCCAGCUGUGGGGCCCUGAGCAGACCCCUUAGACCCUAUUGCUUAGCCCUUACCACUCUGCCUUCUGACAAUAGGCAUUUAAAUGGAUAAGAACCCAAGGAACUUUGAAGAGA
Monodelphis domestica (gray short-tailed opossum) is the source of this 1366-nucleotide non-coding RNA. The record is from RefSeq and is a predicted model, not a curated record. Lineage: Eukaryota; Metazoa; Chordata; Mammalia; Didelphimorphia; Didelphidae.